CUCAGUUACCCCAAUUUGAUUACAUAAACUUACCAGUAUACUUUUAUUGUUAUAUUAAUUCACUAUAUUUAUUUACAUAAGAAAGUUAAAAAUGCAUCAAACUUAAGCUCCAUUGUCAUCUCCAAUCUAACCUGCUUCUCUCUUACUUUCUUUUCUUGGUUAAGGAACCCAUAAAACUUCAUCUACACAAAUCAGAAACAUGGAAGACAGCAUCAACUCUGCCCUUGACCUCAUCCCUGUUCCCUUAUCCAAUCAAAAAAGAACUUCUUAUAGCCCUCCUUUAAUCUAUGUUUCUACUACUCCAGUCUCUCUGAGGUUUCAUAUCUUCUAACUUGGACAGUACAGUAGCCUUCUUUUAUCCAACCUUCAAAAUCAUGCAGUUCUCCCCCCUAAAACACAAAUUUUACCUUGUUACUUUCAUUUAAGUUAUUUUACCAAGUCAUUUGCCUUUAAGAUAUCCACACCAUGCCAGGCACAGUGGCUCAUGCCUGUAAUCCCAGCACUUUGGGAGGCUGAGGCAGGCAGAUUACUUGAGGCCAGGAGUUUGAGACUAGCCUGGCCAACAUUGUGAAACUCUGUCUCUACAAAAAAUUAAAAAAUUACCUGGGCAUGGUGGCACACGUCUGUAGUCCCAGCUACUCAGGAGGCUGAGGCAAGAGAAUUACUUGAACCCAGGAGGCAGAUGUUGCAGUGAGCCGAGAUCAUGCCCCUGCUCUUCAGCCUGGGCCAUGUAGCAAGACCUUGUCUCAAACAACAACAGAUAACCACAGCAUAGAAUAUCCAAUGCAGCCUGUCUUUAAUGUCCUCUCAUACCAUGCUUUCCUAUAUACCUCAUGAUAUAACUACACUAACCUACUUUCUGUGAUCAGACCUACCAAACUCAGGUAUGCUUAGACUCGCUGCUUCUCCCUGGAAUGUUAAUUCUCUGCUUGGCAAACCCUUGUACCUUUGUUAAGACCUUGAUUAAAAGUUACCUCUCUGACGCCUUCUCCAUUCCAACAAGCAUUAGAAGCCUCCUCUUCAUUCCCCUGGGCAAUUUCACCUACUGCCUUCCUCUUUGGUGCCAUGUAUCACAUUAAUUUAUUUUUCUAAUUUUUUUCCAGAAUUUCAUUUUUCAUGUAUAUGUGGCAAUGUAUUUUAUUUUUAAACUUUUAAUUUUUAAUUGUUGUGGGUACAGAGUAGGUAUAUAUAUUCAGAGGAUACAUGAGAUGUUUUGAUACAGACAUCACAUAAUUUAUGACCAUCCAUUUAGAAGCCUGUUUUGCUUGCUCACAAAGCUUGGUUUUCUCAGGGCAGGGCUGUGUACACCUACAUAUCUACAUGUCCCUAGAAUAAUACCUCUAACACAGCCAGUAUGCGAUGAGUACAUGUUGAACAAAGACGUUAAUGGAUAAGUAAAUAGAACCUACAUGGCAUCAGUCCACAUUCGUUUUUUACUUUUCUAAGUUUUUUCCCCUCUGAAAUCUGUAAGUGUGCUUAAUCUCUGCCUCUGCUUUUUUGUUAUUGUUUCUGUUUAGAGGAGUCACAGAGGGAUCCUAGUGAAGAGGAUUAUAACUUUGCCUGUUUUGUGAUGCGGAGGUGAUGUCAUGUUGUUCUACCAUUUUAUCAUUGUUCCUUCUGAGCCUGAGUGUUCUUUCUCUUGAAGAUUCAAGUGAACCAGGGAAGGAGAAUGACAUCAGACUGGGCUUGUGCCUGAUAAUUCAUUUCUGAAGUGCUUCAAGAUUGACGCAUCAGAUUUGCACAAUGUGCCACUUUAGGAGAUUAUUUCUUCCUUCCUUCAGCCAGACAGAAGACUGCAGUAGGUAAUGAUAGCUUAAACUUGGGAAAUGUCCUUCUUCAGAGACAGCGUCACGGACAUUUUGGAGAGGAUCAGAUUACUCUACAGCUGCUUUCCCUGGUGGACCUGAGGAGGCACACCCCUGAGCCAGGACUUUAAGGGAGAGGGUAGAACAACCUAGAAGCUCAGAAGGUCACUCCAACUAUUAUCUUCCCUUCUGUGACUUAUUGACAUACACUUUGAUAUCAAGGCACUGAUGCUGAUAACGUGAGAGAAAGGAAUAGAUUAAUUAUGGGAUGAGGAGUAUUUUAAAUGCUAAAGGCUUUGUCUAAAAUAAUUCACAUUUUUCCAUCCAGUGGUUCCUCUCUUUGAAUCCUGUUAGAAUGACAGUAGAUCUUUUAAUUCUUUCCCCACUUUAGGCAUGACUUUGAAGAACCUGAAGAUGUGAAAAUGAAAUGGAUACUGUGCUCCUUUUGGCUAGGAUUGGGGAGGGCCCACUAACUGAUCUCUACUACCCAGCCCCUUUCAACAUCAAAGCUACUUUUUUUUUUUUUUUGAGACAAAGUCUGGCCCUGUCGCCAGGCUGGAGUGCAGUGGUGCAGUCUCAGCUCACUGCAACCUCUGCCUCCUGGAUUCAAGGGAUUCCCCUGCCUCAGCCUCCCGAGCAGCUGGGACUACAGGUGCAUGCCACCAUGCCUGGCUAAUUUUUUGUAUUUUAGUAGAGACGGGAUUUCACUUUGUUGGCCAGGAUGGUCUCAAUCCAAAGCUACUUUUAGCAGGAUUGAACUCUGAGGUCAUCCAGUGGCCAGUUGUGAUGCUGUCACUUUUAAAACUGGAAUGAGUUACUGUUCGGAUGGUGGCUUUGGUCUGAGGCCUGUGAUUCCUGUUUUGCCAUUUCUUGGCUGUGUGUUUGAGGACCUCUUAAUCCCUAGCCUCCUCAUUUGUAAAAUAAUCCUUCCCAUGGACCUUGUGCAUUUCAUGGAAAUGCAGUAGUAUGGGGUCUGGAAGAUUCUUUGUAGGCAUUCUACCUUUCCCUAUGUGUUCCAAGUGACCCUCAUCUGGUGCAUUCUUCAUUUGAUUAAAGCAAGGAAGGAAGCUUUAGCAGAGGGCUGUUAUCUCUUGAUUGGCCGCUGCCAUCCCCUGACCCACCGUCUUCCCUUUUAUGCACAGUGAUGGCAGAGACAGCAACAGACAGCUUGCCCAAACACACUAAGCUGAAUUAAAGCACCACCCAAGUAGAGGUCUAUUCUAUUAAGAAGGGAUCAUCCAGAAAUUGAGGUCACUAUAACACAAGGGAAAGAUUCAAGGAUCCCAAAGUGUCUGCUAGGAAGUGGCCAAUGAGGGCUUCAAAGAGUGUUUAAGUUUUAGUCCAUCCCCAAAUACAGUUCUUCCUUGGACAAAAACAUCUCAGCCAUGCUCUGGCUGAAUUGGGAGGUGACAGCUGCCUAGCUUUGCGCUUCCUACCUGAUAUGUUAACUCACGCACCAUUAUACUGUGGUUGGGAAGUAUGGUGGAUGGUAGAUGGAAGACGAGAAUGGGAGUGAGAUAUUUACACAGUUCUGAAUUUUGGGGGUGAGGGCUGUGCAUUCUUCCUGUCAAAGUUGUAUUAAUAUCAGUAGCAUAAUAAUGAUUAAAAGCAUACUCUUUGGAGUUAGACUUCCUGGCUUAGAAUUGUGACUAUACUAGUUAAUCAGUUGUCUCUUUUGGCAAAUUAUUUGACUUUUUUCAUAUCAGUUUUCCAAGCUGUAAAAUGAAAAUAGUAAUAGUAUUUAACUCAUUGUUUUAAGUUAAAUGAAAUAAUACGUAUGAAGUGCUUAGAAUAAUCUCUGACAAAUAGUGUCCACUCACGAAAUGCUGUUUGUUCUAGCUGCUGUAGUAGCAUAUCUCUCGUAUCCUUGGGCAAGAGACUUUGGCUUUUGAAUUUACUUAUCUAAGAUCCUCUAAGACAGCUCUGAUACAAUUUCUUCCCAGCCAGCAUUCCUGCAAUCCCAAAGACCCCCCCUUUUCCAUAUUUUUUUUUGUCCUUGGAGACUUCUAAGGUUUAAAGUUAUAUGUAUGUUCUUUCCUUAGCAAUCAAUACCCAUUACAUAUGUCUCACAAUUACAACUUUUCCUGGAGACAGAUGUUAAUGGAUUCUGUCCAGCCCACUAGACCCUCACUUCCCUAUACAUCAGCUCUUGAGUUUCCUAAAAGCCUGAACUUCAAUUAGAAAGUGAUCAGGAAGCUUCUCAAAAAGCCUAGGAAUCUAAUCAAUAUUUCUCACACAAUGGUGAUGAUUAGUAGAGGACAUCAGUUGUCAUCAACAGUCCACCACAAUGUCAGAUAAGUAACACAGGAUGCAGGCUUCUGACAUUCACCAUCCAUUAUACAUCCCCUGGGAGGUGGGAGCACUUCAGGUUUCCAUGGCAGCAGUCGGCCAAGCUAAUUUGAUGGCCUUCAAAAAAAAAAGGAACAGAUAAUAUAUAAUUAAACAACAACAAAAACUAGACACCCACUCGCAGUAGUUUUAAGGACCCU
This 4294-nucleotide long non-coding RNA is filed under the name Homo sapiens (human). Its description in RNAcentral is "HSALNT0134308". Lineage: Eukaryota; Metazoa; Chordata; Mammalia; Primates; Hominidae. The record is from RNAcentral.